Molecule: long non-coding RNA, 295 nt
Filed under: Capsicum annuum
Lineage: Eukaryota; Viridiplantae; Streptophyta; Magnoliopsida; Solanales; Solanaceae
Description: long non-coding RNA (CANN_LNC002982)
Source: RNAcentral
UUGGGUCAAUGGUACAAAAAGUCAAUGACAUAUGCCAAUUGUUGGAAGCAAAAUUAAAUGGAACAAGUGCAAGAGCAGUCGUCUCAAAAGUCAAAACCGCAAGCCAACCACCAUGUUUUAAACUCACAAGUUUUCUUUGUAUGAAACAGGAGCACUUUCUACCUUCAAAUCAAAGGCUUCAAAGCGCAAAUAUCUACAAGUUUAAUUCCUUGUUUCUGUAAAUGCAAGAGGCAAUGUUGCUGCAUAGGUUUGAUAAUUACAAUUAUGGUAAAACUCAUCAUUCUAUACCCCUAAG